RNAcentral lists this ribosomal RNA (1376 nucleotides) under Lactiplantibacillus plantarum. RNAcentral's name for it is "Lactobacillus plantarum 16S ribosomal RNA". It matches the Rfam family "Bacterial small subunit ribosomal RNA", at positions 93 to 1455 of the family's 1533-position model. The record is from RNAcentral. Lineage: Bacteria; Bacillati; Bacillota; Bacilli; Lactobacillales; Lactobacillaceae.
GAGUGGCGAACUGGUGAGUAACACGUGGGAAACCUGCCCAGAAGCGGGGGAUAACACCUGGAAACAGAUGCUAAUACCGCAUAACAACUUGGACCGCAUGGUCCGAGUUUGAAAGAUGGCUUCGGCUAUCACUUUUGGAUGGUCCCGCGGCGUAUUAGCUAGAUGGUGGGGUAACGGCUCACCAUGGCAAUGAUACGUAGCCGACCUGAGAGGGUAAUCGGCCACAUUGGGACUGAGACACGGCCCAAACUCCUACGGGAGGCAGCAGUAGGGAAUCUUCCACAAUGGACGAAAGUCUGAUGGAGCAACGCCGCGUGAGUGAAGAAGGGUUUCGGCUCGUAAAACUCUGUUGUUAAAGAAGAACAUAUCUGAGAGUAACUGUUCAGGUAUUGACGGUAUUUAACCAGAAAGCCACGGCUAACUACGUGCCAGCAGCCGCGGUAAUACGUAGGUGGCAAGCGUUGUCCGGAUUUAUUGGGCGUAAAGCGAGCGCAGGCGGUUUUUUAAGUCUGAUGUGAAAGCCUUCGGCUCAACCGAAGAAGUGCAUCGGAAACUGGGAAACUUGAGUGCAGAAGAGGACAGUGGAACUCCAUGUGUAGCGGUGAAAUGCGUAGAUAUAUGGAAGAACACCAGUGGCGAAGGCGGCUGUCUGGUCUGUAACUGACGCUGAGGCUCGAAAGUAUGGGUAGCAAACAGGAUUAGAUACCCUGGUAGUCCAUACCGUAAACGAUGAAUGCUAAGUGUUGGAGGGUUUCCGCCCUUCAGUGCUGCAGCUAACGCAUUAAGCAUUCCGCCUGGGGAGUACGGCCGCAAGGCUGAAACUCAAAGGAAUUGACGGGGGCCCGCACAAGCGGUGGAGCAUGUGGUUUAAUUCGAAGCUACGCGAAGAACCUUACCAGGUCUUGACAUACUAUGCAAAUCUAAGAGAUUAGACGUUCCCUUCGGGGACAUGGAUACAGGUGGUGCAUGGUUGUCGUCAGCUCGUGUCGUGAGAUGUUGGGUUAAGUCCCGCAACGAGCGCAACCCUUAUUAUCAGUUGCCAGCAUUAAGUUGGGCACUCUGGUGAGACUGCCGGUGACAAACCGGAGGAAGGUGGGGAUGACGUCAAAUCAUCAUGCCCCUUAUGACCUGGGCUACACACGUGCUACAAUGGAUGGUACAACGAGUUGCGAACUCGCGAGAGUAAGCUAAUCUCUUAAAGCCAUUCUCAGUUCGGAUUGUAGGCUGCAACUCGCCUACAUGAAGUCGGAAUCGCUAGUAAUCGCGGAUCAGCAUGCCGCGGUGAAUACGUUCCCGGGCCUUGUACACACCGCCCGUCACACCAUGAGAGUUUGUAACACCCAAAGUCGGUGGGGUAACCUUUUAGGAACCAGCCG